Molecule: ribosomal RNA, 659 nt
Filed under: Fusarium sambucinum
Lineage: Eukaryota; Fungi; Ascomycota; Sordariomycetes; Hypocreales; Nectriaceae
Description: eukaryotic LSU rRNA
Rfam family: Eukaryotic large subunit ribosomal RNA
Source: RNAcentral
AACUUCUGAAUGUGACCUCGGAUCAGGUAGGAAUACCCGCUGAACUUAAGCAUAUCAAUAAGCGGAGGAAAAGAAACCAACAGGGAUUGCCCUAGUAACGGCGAGUGAAGCGGCAACAGCUCAAAUUUGAAAUCUGGCUCUCGGGCCCGAGUUGUAAUUUGUAGAGGAUGACUUUGAUGCGGUGCCUUCCGAGUUCCCUGGAACGGGACGCCAUAGAGGGUGAGAGCCCCGUCUGGUUGGAUGCCAAAUCUCUGUAAGUCUCCUUCGACGAGUCGAGUAGUUUGGGAAUGCUGCUCUAAAUGGGAGGUAUAUGUCUUCUAAAGCUAAAUACCGGCCAGAGACCGAUAGCGCACAAGUAGAGUGAUCGAAAGAUGAAAAGCACUUUGAAAAGAGAGUUAAAAAGUACGUGAAAUUGUUGAAAGGGAAGCGUUUAUGACCAGACUUGGGCUUGGUUAAUCAUCUGGGGUUCUCCCCAGUGCACUUUUCCAGUCCAGGCCAGCAUCAGUUUUCGCCGGGGGACAAAGGCUUCGGGAAUGUGGCUCCCCUCGGGGAGUGUUAUAGCCCGUUGUGCAAUGCCCUGGCGGGGACUGAGGUUCGCGCUUCUGCAAGGAUGCUGGCGUAAUGGUCAUCAACGACCCGUCUUGAAACACGGACCAAGG